Molecule: ribosomal RNA, 254 nt
Filed under: uncultured bacterium
Lineage: Bacteria
Description: partial 16S ribosomal RNA
Rfam family: Bacterial small subunit ribosomal RNA
Source: RNAcentral
UACGUAGGGUGCAAGCGUUGUCCGGAUUUAUUGGGCGUAAAGAGCUCGUAGGCGGUUUUGAAAGUCGGGUGUGAAACCUCCAGGCUCAACCUGGAGACGCCACUCGAUACUUCAAUGACUUGAGUUCGGUGGGGGUAAGCGGAAUUCCUGGUGUAGCGGUGAAAUGCGCAGAUAUCAGGAGGAACACCGACGGCGAAGGCAGCUUACUGGGCCGAUACUGACGCUGAGGAGCGAAAGCGUGGGGAGCGAACAGG